Nicotiana attenuata is the source of this 965-nucleotide long non-coding RNA. RefSeq lists it as uncharacterized. The record is from RefSeq and is a predicted model, not a curated record. The transcript has 2 exons. NCBI's taxonomy places the organism in Eukaryota, Viridiplantae, Streptophyta, Magnoliopsida, Solanales, Solanaceae.
GAUCACUGGACUGUCAUCCUAAUAUGAAAAUUUGUCUCUCUGGCAAAGUUUAUGGUAGAAACUGAACAUGUUAAAGUAGUCCAAGAGUACCUAUCUACAUGUUCUUUGAUAAUAUUUGUAUUCUGUCCUAGUUGAGUUGCUUCUUGAAAGAAAAAAUGAUACCAGGAAACUAGAAAAUUCAAAGACUUUGCUUGUUGCUGCAUUUUUACUUCUGCAUACACAAGGAAAACAGAAGGAUCAAUCUUCUCUACUUUUCCUGCCUAGCGGCCCUUGCCCUGCAUUGACAUGCCCGGCCCCGUCAAAGUUCUCUUUUAUUUUUCUUUUCUUCUUUUCAUUGUUAUUUAUUUAGUUGUAAAAUAUCUUCCUUUACUAUUUAUUUUGAUAUGUAUACAUCUGGAUAAUAUCACAACUUCUUCUGUUAAUUACUUUUGUUGGUUACCUUUACUUUUUGUUGUCUUAUAAAGUGUUAAAUAUGUCUCUAAUCUUAUAGCUUUGAAAAUUUUGUAGGUGAUAUUGUUUCACACUAAUCUAUUUUUUCAAUGGAUAAGUCUUGGAUUAGAAUGCCGAGGCACACACCAGAAUAUUUACUUGGUUUGAAUUAAUUUAUAGAGUUUGCAUUUAAUAAUGGAGCUAUAAGAGAUAGAACAAUUUGCGGGGUUCUUUGCUUCUCCUCCUACAACGCCUAGAGAUGCAGCUAGUGGAUCCCUAUCACCCAUGGGUGCAAGAAGAUCAUCUGAUGGCAGUAAUCCAAGUGACAACAAUUGAAGUUCUUUGUAAUUGAAUUAGAUAAUUAAUUAUGACAAUGUAAUUAUGUGAUUGGAGCGAAUGUUAGAAUGGCUAGGGUGAAUGUUUUAUGUUAAAAUUUAGUUUGACGCUACUAUAUGCAGCUAGAAACAUUGCUAAAUCUGCUUUGAGCAUUUUUGUAGUAGCCCCAUCAUUUAUAUAUGAAAGUAAUACUUUUGUGA